UGGCAACCGGGCAGGGACCCUCCGUGCUCGGCUUGGUUGUCAUUUGUUGUUAAUUAUCUGUUACCAUAAAUGCUGCCCUUUGAGAAAGAAAAGGGGGGAUGUUUUGAAAUAUUUCCUGCAGUGUGUGCCGGUGGCGCAGUGCAGAACUCGGUGUGUUCAGAAUCGCUGUCCUGGCGGCUUCCGCGUCCUUCACCCCAGGCCCACGCAGUUUCCCUGGCUGCGGAACCCACUUCCUGCCAGAACCCACUUUCUGCUCUCUGUCCAGAGAGCAGAGCACAUCUGUUUUUCUUGUUCCCCGAGGAGCUCCAUGCAGGGCCUGGGUGCCCAGUCCCUGCCAACCUGGGACAGCCGGGGUGCGGGCUCCCUGCAGGCCACGCCAAGCGUCUCUCGGGCUUUUCCUGGACGUGACGAAUGUGCCUGCGUCCUGAGGAAUCGAGGCAGCAGUGCUUGCCUGGAAUGAGCCCCGUUUCCAAAGUUCUGCUUUCACUGCUGUGCUCCUUCGCUCUCGGGUUUCCAGGCGGCUGCUGGGUGUGAGUGGCUUCUUUUAGAUCACAGGUGACAAUCAAAUUGUAGGACUGAAAGGGAGGGUUGGAUCAGUAAACGAGUGACUUGGUAACUAUUUGACAGGAGAGGAGGAGACUGGGCGGGAGACUGGGAACUGAGAGGAAGCAGCUCUCCAGGUGCUCCGGGGGAGGCCGGGGAAGGAUUUAGCACUUUGGAUUUGUUAGAAGCUGUGAGAAGUCCGGUGGGCCCGGGCUCCGUGACUUGGGUCUGAAACGUGAGGCCCUCGCCUGAGCCAUGGGACUGAGUUAGGCCCAGGGGGCCCUCCCCGCAAGCCUGGCCCUGGAACACGACAUUAUUUCCUUUAGAGGAACAAGCGACAGAGAGGUUUCCGGGGCCGGUGUAGACCGUGCAGGGCCGGCCAGCCUGCUGGUGCCAACUUCGGUGAUCGUCCACCCAUCCCAAGGUCUUCAUCGCAGCCUGGGUUCUGCGCUGAUGUUGAGGAGGAGAGGGGAGGAUGCAUGACGGGCC
Molecule: long non-coding RNA, 1032 nt
Filed under: Fukomys damarensis (Damara mole-rat)
Lineage: Eukaryota; Metazoa; Chordata; Mammalia; Rodentia; Bathyergidae
Description: lncRNA (ENSFDAG00000030495.1)
Source: RNAcentral